Molecule: ribosomal RNA, 109 nt
Filed under: Oenococcus oeni
Lineage: Bacteria; Bacillati; Bacillota; Bacilli; Lactobacillales; Lactobacillaceae
Description: partial 16S ribosomal RNA
Rfam family: Bacterial small subunit ribosomal RNA
Source: RNAcentral
GCGCUAACCGAAAGGGGGCAGCCGGCCACGGUAGGGUCAGCGACUGGGGUGAAGUCGUAACAAGGUAGCCGUAGGGGAACCUGCGGCUGGAUCACCUCCUUUCUAAGGA